RNAcentral lists this ribosomal RNA (524 nucleotides) under uncultured bacterium. RNAcentral's name for it is "bacterial SSU rRNA". It matches the Rfam family "Bacterial small subunit ribosomal RNA", at positions 28 to 531 of the family's 1533-position model. The record is from RNAcentral.
GGCUAACGCUGGCGGCGUGUCUUAGCCAUGCAAGUCGAGCGGACUUAUGGGGUAACUUAUAAGUCAGCGGCGGACGGCGGAGUAACACGUAGCUAACCUACCCUCUGGACGGGGAUAACCUACCGAAAGGUGGGCUAAUACCCGAUGUAGUCAUCCUGUAUAGGGGUGAUGAAAGGUGGGCUUCUGUUUACAAGCUCAUGCUGGAGGAGGGGGCUGCGGCCUAUCAGGUAGUUGGUAGGGUAAUAGCCUACCAAGCCGAUGACGGGUAGCCGGCCUGAGAGGGUGACCGGCCCGAGGGGCGCUGAGAUACGGGUCCCACUCCUACGGGAGGCAGCAGGCUAGAAAUUUGGGCAAUGGGGGAACCCUGACCCAGUGACGCCGCGUGCAGGAAGGAGCCCUUCGGGGUGUAAACUGCUGUCGUGUAGGGAGAAGGGUACUAAGGUGAACAAUCUUAGUACUUGACGGUACUACAGGAGGAAGCCCAGGCUAACCUCGUGCCAGCAGCCGCGGUAAGAUAGCGUACU